GAAUCCCGUCUUUGACACGGACUGCCUGUACAUUAUGGUGUGCUCUCGAAGAGUCGAGUUGUUUGGGAAUGCAGCUCAAAAUGGGUGGUAAAUGCCAUCUAAAGCUAAAUAUUGGCGAGAGACCGAUAGCGAACAAGUACCGUGAGGGAAAGAUGAAAGGAACUUUGGAAAGAGAGUUAAACAGUACGUGAAAUUGCUGAAAGGGAAACGCUUGAAGUCAGUCGCGUUGGCUAGAAAUCAACCUUGCUUUUGCUUUGUGUACUUUCUGGUUGACGGGUCAGCAUCAAUUUUGACCACUGGAUAAAGUCUUUGGGAAUGUGGCAUCUUCGGAUGUGUUAUAGCCCCUUGUUGUAUACUUCGACUGGGACUGAGGACCGCAGCACGCCCUUGGCCGGGGUUCGCCCACGUACGUGCUUAGGAUGUUGGCAUAAUGGCUUUAAGCGACCCGUCUUGAAACACGGACCAAGGAGUCUAACAUGCCUGCGAGUGUUCGGGUGGAAAACCCGUGCGCGCAAUGAAAGUGAAAGUUGGGACCUCUGUCGUGGAGGGCACCGACGCCCGGACCAGACCUUCUGUGACGGAUCUGCGGUAGAGCGUGUGUGUUGGGACCCGAAAGAUGGUGAACUAUGCCUGAAUAGGGUGAAGCCAGAGGAAACUCUGGUGGAGGCUCGUAGCGAUUCUGACGUGCAAAUCGAUCGUCAAAUUUGGGUAUAGGGGCGAAAGACUAAUCGAACCAUCUAGUAGCUGGUUCCUGCC
Molecule: ribosomal RNA, 756 nt
Filed under: uncultured Inocybe
Lineage: Eukaryota; Fungi; Basidiomycota; Agaricomycetes; Agaricales; Cortinariaceae
Also listed under: 1 other name
Description: partial 28S ribosomal RNA
Rfam family: Eukaryotic large subunit ribosomal RNA
Source: RNAcentral